AUGUCUAAGCACAAACUAAAUAAUUGUGAAGCCGCGAAUGGCUCAUUACAACAGCCAUUGUUUACUGGAUAUAUAAUUACUACAUGGAUAACUGUGGUAAUUCUACAGCUAAUACACGCAAUAAAACUCCGACUUUGUGAAGGAGUGCGUUUGUUACUUCAAAUCAAUCGGACGCAAGUCUGAUCUAAAGUGAUAUUGAACAAUUUAGCUGAUCGCACGGUCUUGUACCGGCGACAUAUCCUUCAAAUGUCUGCCUUAUCAACUUUCGAUGGUAGAUUAUGCGCCUACCAUGGUUGUAACGGGUAACGGAGAAUCAGGGUUUGAUUCCGGAGAGGGAGCCUGAGAAAUGGCUACCACAUCCAAGGAAGGCAGCAGGCACGCAAAUUACCCACUCCCGGCACGGGGAGGUAGUGACGAAAAAUAACAAGCUGGUCUCUAUGAGUUCCGGCAUUGUAAUGGGAACAACUUAAACCAUUUAUCGAGGAUCUAUUGGAGGGCAAGUCUGGUGCCAGCAGCCGCGGUAAUUCCAGCUCCAAUAGCGUAUAUUAAAGUUGUUGCGGUUAAAAAGCUCGUAGUUGGAUCUACGACCAAGCUCGGCGGUCGUUCUGCUUGAAUGUACUGCACGAGCUGGUCCAAAUAUCUAGUAUUCUAUUGAUGCUCUUCACUGAGUGUCUCUAGUUGCUGGAACUUUUACCUUGAAAAAAUUGAAGUGCUCAAAGCAGGCUAACGCCUGAACAUUGCUGCAUGGGAUAAUAGAAUAGGACUUCGGUUCUAUUUUGUUGGUUUCGGAACACGAAGUAAUGAUUAAUAGGGACAGACGGGGGCAUUCGUAUUGCUGCGUUAGAGGUGAAAUUCUUGGAUUGUAGCAAGACGAACUACUGCGAAAGCAUUUGCCAAGAAUGUUUUCAUUAAUCAAGAACGAAAGUUAGAGGUUCGAAGGCGAUCAGAUACCG
This 953-nucleotide ribosomal RNA is filed under the name Bathyeurystomina sp. MC12-4. Its description in RNAcentral is "bacterial SSU rRNA". It matches the Rfam family "Eukaryotic small subunit ribosomal RNA", at positions 55 to 1017 of the family's 1831-position model. The record is from RNAcentral. Lineage: Eukaryota; Metazoa; Nematoda; Enoplea; Enoplida; Enchelidiidae.